CUACGGGGGGCUCCAGUGAGGAAUAUUGGUCAAUGGGCGCGAGCCUGAACCAGCCAUCCCGCGUGCAGGAUGACGCCCUGUGGGUUGUAAACUGCUUUUCUAUGCCAAGAAACCUGAUUACGUGUAAUCAGUUGCCGGUAGCAUAGGAAUAAGCAUCGGCUAACUCCGUGCCAGCAGCCGCGGUAAUACGGAGGAUGCAAGCGUUAUCCGGAUUCAUUGGGUUUAAAGGGUGCGCAGGUGGGCUUGUAAGUCAGUGGUGAAAUGCUGCCGCUUAACGGUAGAACUGCCAUUGAUACUGCGAGUCUUGAGUAUGGUUGAGGUAGGUGGAAUGUGUUGUGUAGCGGUGAAAUGCAUAGAUAUGACACAGAACGCCAAUUGCGAAGGCAGCUUACUAAGCCAUUACUGACGCUGAGGCACGAAAGCGUGGGGAGCGAACAGGAUUAGAUACCCUCGUAGUC
This 458-nucleotide ribosomal RNA is filed under the name uncultured bacterium. Its description in RNAcentral is "partial 16S ribosomal RNA". It matches the Rfam family "Bacterial small subunit ribosomal RNA", at positions 339 to 795 of the family's 1533-position model. The record is from RNAcentral.